This 499-nucleotide non-coding RNA is filed under the name Pan troglodytes (chimpanzee). The record is from RNAcentral. Lineage: Eukaryota; Metazoa; Chordata; Mammalia; Primates; Hominidae.
ACCCAGGCUCAUGGCUCCAUGAAGCAAGAGGAGGAGGCAGAGCGCGAGAGGUCCGUCCGCCCCAGCCGCGUCUGGGCCAGGAGAAAAGCAAAACCAUAUUCCUGCUGCUGUCAGUUAUGAUGCACUGAGAAAACUUCAGAGACCUAAGCUUUUUCCAGAGAAGAGAAGCUUUACUGGUGUUCCAGCCCUAAGGCUCAUAUGACAUUAACAGACAAGACACUUUUCAGAAAGACAGACAGCUCUUCAAUCUUCAAGGGAACUGUGGAAGUAAACCAGGGGUGACAUGGAUUAUCAAAUAUUGUGGAUCAGAGUGGCUGUAUCAUUUUACUUUCCUACCAUCAGUAUUUGAGAAUUACAGUGUUCUAAAUCAUCACCAACACACAAGAUGAUGAGUAUUUUUAAUUGUAUUUAUUCUAGUAGGUGUGGAAUGGCAUCUCAUUUAAUUUGUAUUUCUCUAAUGGCUAAAGAUAUUGAACAUCUUUUGAUGUGAUUAUUUGCU